GCUGUGUGUCUGGGUGGUGAAGAAGCGGUCUUGAAAACCGUCGGCGAAAAAUCGCUUGCAGGUUCGAAUCCUGUGCACAGCGCCA
Molecule: transfer RNA, 85 nt
Filed under: Thomasclavelia ramosa
Lineage: Bacteria; Bacillati; Bacillota; Erysipelotrichia; Erysipelotrichales; Coprobacillaceae
Also listed under: 5 other names
Description: Erysipelatoclostridium ramosum tRNA-Ser
Rfam family: tRNA
About the family: Transfer RNA (tRNA) molecules are approximately 80 nucleotides in length.
Source: RNAcentral